Long non-coding RNA from Sinocyclocheilus anshuiensis, 592 nucleotides. RefSeq lists it as uncharacterized. The transcript is spliced from 5 exons. The record is from RefSeq and is a predicted model, not a curated record. NCBI's taxonomy places the organism in Eukaryota, Metazoa, Chordata, Actinopteri, Cypriniformes, Cyprinidae.
ACCUCUUGCACGAGUAACGUCCUUUCUGCUGGCGACGUUCAAUAAAGUAGUAACAUUUGUGUGUUGUCAUCGAAGUAAUGGGGUUGAAUGCCCUUUUUUAUUUUGUUAAUACUUAAAACACUCAUUUAAUUGCCCAUUUAUAUCGUUUUAACCUACAUAUAUUGUAAAUGUAAGCAUUUAGCCUGCUGCCGGUUUUUUUGGACCGUUUGUAAAAUAUAGAUGGAAUCGAGGCGUUUUCCCAAUCAUAUCGAUGUGACGGGCCCAUUGGAUUGUACUCUGAACCCUUGUUUAUGGACAUGAGGCACCCGCAUUUAUGGAUAUGAGGUACCUUGUCGACUGAAAGCAGUAAAGUGUUGAGCAAGGCAUUUCCUUCAUGUGACCAGACUGACUUCUAUGGAUUUUAAUGAAGUCCACUGACCUUUAUUUUAAAAACCCAAUUAUUUCGUAGAAAACUAUAGUAUAUAAUUGUAACUUGUAGUAUAGUAUGUCCAUGUGCUUGCUAUCCUUGGAACUCAGAAAGAUGCCAGCAAUAUACUGUCAGUCAGUGAUGUAAUGAUUUGAAACUGCUACAAUAAAUUCUCAUUUUAAAAUA